GGGGGGGGGGGGGGGGGGGGGGGGGGGGUGGGGGGCGGGCGGGGGGGGGGAGCUGGCUCCUGGAUUCAGCGGCGGACGGGUGAGUAAUGCCGAGGGAUCUGCCUGGUAGUGGGGGAUAACGUCCGGGCACGGGCGCUAAUACCGCAUACGUCCUGAGGGAGAAAGUGUGGGAUCUUCGGACCUCACGCUAUCAGAUGAGCCUAGGUCGGAUUAGCUAGUUGGUGGGUUAAAGGCCUACCAGGGCGACGAUCCGUAACUGGUCUGAGAGGAUGAUCAGUCACACGGGAACUGAGAAACGGUCCAGACUCCUGCGGGAGGCAGCAGUGGGGAAUAUUGGACAAUGGGCGAAAGCCGGAUCCAGCCAUGCCGCGUGUGUGAAGAAGGUCUUCGGAUUGUAAAGCACUUUAAGUUGGGAGGAAGGGCAGUAAGUUAAUACCUUGCUGUUUUGACGUUACCAACAGAAUAAGCACCGGCUAACUUCGUG
This 484-nucleotide ribosomal RNA is filed under the name uncultured bacterium. Its description in RNAcentral is "partial 16S ribosomal RNA". It matches the Rfam family "Bacterial small subunit ribosomal RNA", at positions 35 to 507 of the family's 1533-position model. The record is from RNAcentral.